GCCCAGGUAGCUCAGUCGGUAGAGCAGCGGAUUGAAAAUCCGCGUGUCGCUGGUUCGAUUCCGGCCCUGGGCA
RNAcentral lists this transfer RNA (73 nucleotides) under Rhodomicrobium vannielii ATCC 17100. It matches the Rfam family "tRNA". From Rfam's summary of the family: Transfer RNA (tRNA) molecules are approximately 80 nucleotides in length. The record is from Rfam by way of RNAcentral. Lineage: Bacteria; Pseudomonadati; Pseudomonadota; Alphaproteobacteria; Hyphomicrobiales; Hyphomicrobiaceae.